GCAUGGGAUAGCCUUUCUAAAUGGUUUAUUAAGCAAUUCUAUUUUACCAAGACUAUCGUAACCAUGCAAAAAAGCAACGGCAAAUCCGUUGCCUUUUUUGGAU
This is a non-coding RNA of Streptococcus pneumoniae SP6-BS73, 103 nucleotides long. NCBI's taxonomy places the organism in Bacteria, Bacillati, Bacillota, Bacilli, Lactobacillales, Streptococcaceae. The record is from Rfam.